This 253-nucleotide ribosomal RNA is filed under the name uncultured bacterium. Its description in RNAcentral is "partial 16S ribosomal RNA". It matches the Rfam family "Bacterial small subunit ribosomal RNA", at positions 524 to 776 of the family's 1533-position model. The record is from RNAcentral.
UACGGAGGGUCCAAGCGUUAUCCGGAAUCGUUGGGUUUAAAGGGUCCGUAGGCGGUUUUGUAAGUCAGUGGUGAAAGCCCAUCGCUCAACGGUGGAACGGCCAUUGAUACUGCAAGACUUGAAUUAUUGUGAAGUAACUAGAAUAUGUAGUGUAGCGGUGAAAUGCUUAGAGAUUACAUGGAAUACCAAUUGCGAAGGCAGGUUACUAACAAUAUAUUGACGCUGAUGGACGAAAGCGUGGGUAGCGAACAGG